AUUGAACGCUGGCGGCAGGCCUAACACAUGCAAGUCGAACGGCAGCACAGAAGAGCUUGCUCUUUGGGUGGCGAGUGGCGGACGGGUGAGUAAUGUCUGGGAAACUGCCCGAUGGAGGGGGAUAACUACUGGAAACGGUAGCUAAUACCGCAUAACGUCGCAAGACCAAAGUGGGGGACCUUCGGGCCUCACACCAUCGGAUGUGCCCAAGUGGGAUUAGCUAGUAGGUGGGGUAAUGGCUCACCUAGGCGACGAUCCCUAGCUGGUCUGAGAGGAUGACCAGCCACACUGGAACUGGGACACGGUCCAGACUCCUACGGGAGGCAGCAGUGGGGAAUAUUGCACAAUGGGCGCAAGCCUGAUGCGGCCAUGCCGCGUGUAUGAAGAAGGCCUUCGGGUUGUAAAGUACUUUCAGCGGGGAGGAAGGCGGUGAGGUUAAUAACCUUGCCGAUUGACGUUACCCGCAGAAGAAGCACCGGCUAACUCCGUGCCAGCAGCCGCCGUAA
This 506-nucleotide ribosomal RNA is filed under the name uncultured bacterium. RNAcentral's name for it is "partial 16S ribosomal RNA". It matches the Rfam family "Bacterial small subunit ribosomal RNA", at positions 30 to 523 of the family's 1533-position model. The record is from RNAcentral.